This 39-nucleotide ribosomal RNA is filed under the name Citrobacter freundii. RNAcentral describes it as "partial 16S ribosomal RNA". Lineage: Bacteria; Pseudomonadati; Pseudomonadota; Gammaproteobacteria; Enterobacterales; Enterobacteriaceae. The record is from RNAcentral.
GUAACCGUAGGGAACCUGCGGUUGGAUCACCUCCUUACC